This 73-nucleotide transfer RNA is filed under the name Quadrisphaera granulorum. It matches the Rfam family "tRNA". Rfam says of the family: Transfer RNA (tRNA) molecules are approximately 80 nucleotides in length. Their secondary structure includes four short double-helical elements and three loops (D, anti-codon, and T loops). The record is from Rfam by way of RNAcentral. Lineage: Bacteria; Bacillati; Actinomycetota; Actinomycetes; Kineosporiales; Kineosporiaceae. RNAcentral also lists the same sequence under 1 other name.
GGGCCUCUAGCUCAACCGGCAGAGCAGCGGACUUUUAAUCCGCGGGUUGUGGGUUCGAGCCCCACGGGGCCCA